CGGGACAUAGCGCAAUUGGUUAGCGCGCCAGCAUGGGGUGCUGGAGGUUGCGGGUUCGAGUCCCGCUGUCCCGA
This 74-nucleotide transfer RNA is filed under the name Pseudomonadota bacterium. RNAcentral describes it as "tRNA-Pro". It matches the Rfam family "tRNA". From Rfam's summary of the family: Transfer RNA (tRNA) molecules are approximately 80 nucleotides in length. Their secondary structure includes four short double-helical elements and three loops (D, anti-codon, and T loops). Further hydrogen bonds mediate the characteristic L-shaped molecular structure. tRNAs have two regions of fundamental functional importance: the anti-codon, which is responsible for specific mRNA codon recognition, and the 3' end, to which the tRNAs corresponding amino acid is attached (by aminoacyl-tRNA synthetases). tRNAs cope with the degeneracy of the genetic code in two manners: having more than one tRNA (with a specific anti-codon) for a particular amino acid; and 'wobble' base-pairing, i.e. permitting non-standard base-pairing at the 3rd anti-codon position. The record is from RNAcentral. RNAcentral also lists the same sequence under 1 other name. Lineage: Bacteria; Pseudomonadati; Pseudomonadota.